UGGGGAAUAUUGGACAAUGGGCGCAAGCCUGAUCCAGCCAUGCCGCGUGAGUGAUGAAGGCCCUAGGGUUGUAAAGCUCUUCGGCGGGGACGAUAAUGACGGUACCCGCAGAAGAAGCCCCGGCUAACUUCGUGCCAGCAGCCGCGGUAAUACGAAGGGGGCUAGCGUUGUUCGGAAUCACUGGGCGUAAAGGCGCGUAGGCGGCUGUUCAAGUCGGGGGUGAAAGCCUGUGGCUCAACCACAGAAUUGCCUUCGAUACUGGACGGCUGGAGACCGGAAGAGGUCAGUGGAACUGCGAGUGUAGAGGUGAAAUUCGUAGAUAUUCGCAAGAACACCAGUGGCGAAGGCGGCUGACUGGUCCGGUUCUGACGCUGAGGAGCGAAAGCGUGGGGAGCGAACAGGAUUAGAUACCC
This 413-nucleotide ribosomal RNA is filed under the name uncultured bacterium. RNAcentral describes it as "bacterial SSU rRNA". It matches the Rfam family "Bacterial small subunit ribosomal RNA", at positions 355 to 787 of the family's 1533-position model. The record is from RNAcentral.